RNAcentral lists this ribosomal RNA (861 nucleotides) under marine metagenome. RNAcentral's name for it is "bacterial SSU rRNA". It matches the Rfam family "Bacterial small subunit ribosomal RNA", at positions 166 to 1022 of the family's 1533-position model. The record is from RNAcentral.
AUACCGUAUACCUCCUUCGGGAGAAAGAAGGCCUCUCUUUGGAGCUUUCGCUACUAGAUCAGCCUGCGUAAGAUUAGCUUGUUGGUGAGGUAAUGGCUCACCAAGGCGACGAUCUUUAGCUGGUCUGAGAGGACGAUCAGCCACAUUGGGACUGAGACACGGCCCAGACUCCUACGGGAGGCAGCAGUGGGGAAUAUUGGACAAUGGGCGCAAGCCUGAUCCAGCCAUACCGCGUGUGUGAAGAAGGCCUUCGGGUUGUAAAGCACUUUAAGCAGGGAGAAAAAGUUAUAAGCUAAUACCUUAUAACCUUGAUGUUACCUGCAGAAUAAGCACCGGCUAAUUCCGUGCCAGCAGCCGCGGUAAUACGGAAGGUGCAAGCGUUAAUCGGAAUUACUGGGCGUAAAGCGCGCGUAGGUGGUUUGUUAAGUUGGAUGUGAAAGCCCUGGGCUCAACCUAGGAACUGCAUCCAAAACUAACUCACUAGAGUACGAUAGAGGGAGGUAGAAUUCAUAGUGUAGCGGUGGAAUGCGUAGAUAUUAUGAAGAAUACCAGUGGCGAAGGCGGCCUCCUGGAUCUGUACUGACACUGAGGUGCGAAAGCGUGGGUAGCGAACAGGAUUAGAUACCCUGGUAGUCCACGCCGUAAACGAUGACAACUAGCUGUUAGGAGACUAUGUCUUUUAGUGGCGCAGCUAACGUUUUAAGUUGUCCGCCUGGGGAGUACGGCCGCAAGGCUAAAACUCAAAUGAAUUGACGGGGACCCGCACAAGCAGUGGAUCAUGUGGUUUAAUUCGAUGCAACGCGAAAAACCUUACCUACUCUUGACAUACUUGGAAGCUCUUGUAAUGAGAGUGUGCUUUUA